This 497-nucleotide ribosomal RNA is filed under the name uncultured bacterium. RNAcentral's name for it is "partial 16S ribosomal RNA". It matches the Rfam family "Bacterial small subunit ribosomal RNA", at positions 28 to 507 of the family's 1533-position model. The record is from RNAcentral.
GAUGAACGCUGGCGGCGUGCCUAAUACAUGCAAGUCGAGCGAACAGAUGAGGAGCUUGCUCCUCUGACGUUAGCGGCGGACGGGUGAGUAACACGUGGAUAACCUACCUAUAAGACUGGGAUAACUUCGGGAAACCGGAGCUAAUACCGGAUAAUAUAUUGAACCGCAUGGUUCAAUAGUGAAAGACGGUUUUGCUGUCACUUAUAGAUGGAUCCGCGCCGCAUUAGCUAGUUGGUAAGGUAACGGCUUACCAAGGCAACAAUGCGUAGCCGACCUGAGAGGAUGAUCGGCCACACUGGAACUGAGACACGGUCCAGACUCCUACGGGAGGCAGCAGUAGGGAAUCUUCCGCAAUGGGCGAAAGCCUGACGGAGCAACGCCGCGUGAGUGAUGAAGGUCUUCGGAUCGUAAAACUCUGUUAUUAGGGAAGAACAAAUGUGUAAGUAACUAUGCACGUCUUGACGGUACCUAAUCAGAAAGCCACGGCUAACUACGUG